UAAAAUAUGAUUUAUUUAAAUGAUUGGAGAUAUUAGAUAAUUUUAUUUAUUUAGUAAUAAUUUGAGAAAAUAGAAUUAUUAGAAAUAAUUCACAUUUUGAGGUUUUUUAUUAAAUAUUUAUUUAAUCGAAAUUUUUAUUUAAAUAAAAUAAAGUGUUAUAUUUCAUUUAGAAAAUAAACUUUUUAGGAAUAAAAUAUGAGCGUCAGAUUAUUUUGG
RNAcentral lists this long non-coding RNA (216 nucleotides) under Lathyrus oleraceus (garden pea). Its description in RNAcentral is "Pisum sativum (pea) long non-coding RNA (PSAT_LNC026530)". The record is from RNAcentral. Lineage: Eukaryota; Viridiplantae; Streptophyta; Magnoliopsida; Fabales; Fabaceae.